GACCUCAAAUCGGGGAGACUACCCGCGACA
Molecule: ribosomal RNA, 30 nt
Filed under: uncultured Russulaceae
Lineage: Eukaryota; Fungi; Basidiomycota; Agaricomycetes; Russulales; Russulaceae
Description: partial 28S ribosomal RNA
Source: RNAcentral